RNAcentral lists this ribosomal RNA (460 nucleotides) under uncultured bacterium. RNAcentral's name for it is "partial 16S ribosomal RNA". It matches the Rfam family "Bacterial small subunit ribosomal RNA", at positions 338 to 795 of the family's 1533-position model. The record is from RNAcentral.
CCUACGGGUGGCUGCAGUGAGGAAUAUUGGUCAAUGGGCGAGAGCCUGAACCAGCCAAGUCGCGUGAAGGAUGAAGGAUCUAUGGUUUGUAAACUUCUUUUAUAUGGGAAUAAAGUGAGGAACGUGUUCCUUUUUGUAUGUACCAUAUGAAUAAGCAUCGGCUAACUCCGUGCCAGCAGCCGCGGUAAUACGGAGGAUGCGAGCGUUAUCCGGAUUUAUUGGGUUUAAAGGGUGCGUAGGUGGUUAAUUAAGUCAGCGGUGAAAGUUUGUGGCUCAACCAUAAAAUUGCCGUUGAAACUGGUUGGCUUGAGUAUAUUUGAGGUAGGCGGAAUGCGUGGUGUAGCGGUGAAAUGCAUAGAUAUCACGCAGAACUCCGAUUGCGAAGGCAGCUUACUAAACUAUAACUGACACUGAAGCACGAAAGCGUGGGGAGCAAACAGGAUUAGAUACCCUAGUAGUC